Molecule: non-coding RNA, 63 nt
Organism: Rattus norvegicus (Norway rat)
Lineage: Eukaryota; Metazoa; Chordata; Mammalia; Rodentia; Muridae
Source: Rfam
GGGGAUUUGGCUCAGUGGUAGAGCGCUUGCCUAGCAAGUGCAAGGCCCUGGGUUCAGUCCCCA